AGUGAACGCUGGCGGUAGGCCUAACACAUGCAAGUCGAACGGCAGCACAGUAAGAGCUUGCUCUUACGGGUGGCGAGUGGCGGACGGGUGAGGAAUACAUCGGAAUCUACUUUUUCGUGGGGGAUAACGUAGGGAAACUUACGCUAAUACCGCAUACGACCUACGGGUGAAAGCAGGGGAUCUUCGGACCUUGCGCGAUUGAAUGAGCCGAUGUCGGAUUAGCUAGUUGGCGGGGUAAAGGCCCACCAAGGCGACGAUCCGUAGCUGGUCUGAGAGGAUGAUCAGCCACACUGGAACUGAGACACGGUCCAGACUCCUACGGGAGGCAGCAGUGGGGAAUAUUAGACAAUGGGCGCAAGCCUGAUCCAGCCAUACCGCGUGAGUGAAGAAGGCCUUCGGGUUGUAAAGCUCUUUUGUUGGGAAAGAAAAGCAGCAGGUUAAUACCCCGCUGUUCUGACGGUACCAAAAGAAUAAGCACCGGCUAACUUCGUG
This 492-nucleotide ribosomal RNA is filed under the name uncultured bacterium. RNAcentral describes it as "partial 16S ribosomal RNA". It matches the Rfam family "Bacterial small subunit ribosomal RNA", at positions 29 to 507 of the family's 1533-position model. The record is from RNAcentral.